This 805-nucleotide ribosomal RNA is filed under the name uncultured organism. RNAcentral describes it as "SSU rRNA". It matches the Rfam family "Bacterial small subunit ribosomal RNA", at positions 28 to 803 of the family's 1533-position model. The record is from RNAcentral.
GACGAACGCUGGCGGCGUGCUUAACACAUGCAAGUCGAACGAAGAGCGAUGGAAGCUUGCUUCUAUCAAUCUUAGUGGCGAACGGGUGAGUAACGCGUAAUCAACCUGCCCUUCAGAGGGGGACAACAGUUGGAAACGACUGCUAAUACCGCAUACGAUCCAAUCUCGGCAUCGAGGAUGGAUGAAAGGUGGCCUCUAUUUAUAAGCUAUCACUGAAGGAGGGGAUUGCGUCUGAUUAGCUAGUUGGAGGGGUAACGGCCCACCAAGGCGAUGAUCGGUAGCCGGUCUGAGAGGAUGAACGGCCACAUUGGGACUGAGACACGGCCCAGACUCCUACGGGAGGCAGCAGUGGGGAAUCUUCCGCAAUGGACGAAAGUCUGACGGAGCAACGCCGCGUGAGUGAUGACGGCCUUCGGGUUGUAAAGCUCUGUUAAUCGGGACGAAAGGCCUUCUUGCGAAUAGUUAGAAGGAUUGACGGUACCGGAAUAGAAAGCCACGGCUAACUACGUGCCAGCAGCCGCGGUAAUACGUAGGUGGCAAGCGUUGUCCGGAAUUAUUGGGCGUAAAGCGCGCGCAGGCGGAUUGGUCAGUCUGUCUUAAAAGUUCGGGGCUUAACCCCGUGAUGGGAUGGAAACUGCCAAUCUAGAGUAUCGGAGAGGAAAGUGGAAUUCCUAGUGUAGCGGUGAAAUGCGUAGAUAUUAGGAAGAACACCAGUGGCGAAGGCGACUUUCUGGACGAAAACUGACGCUGAGGCGCGAAAGCCAGGGGAGCGAACGGGAUUAGAUACCCCGGUAGUCCUGGCCGU